UACAGAGGUGGCAAGCGUUGUUCGGAAUUACUGGGCGUAAAGGGCGCGUAGGCGGCCUUCUAAGUCAGACGUGAAAUCCCCCGGCUUAACCUGGGAACUGCGUCUGAUACUGGGAGGCUUGAGUAUGGGAGAGGGAUGUAGAAUUCCAGGUGUAGCGGUGAAAUGCGUAGAUAUCUGGGGGAAUACCGGUGGCGAAGGCGGCAUCCUGGACCAUAACUGACGCUGAGGCGCGAAAGCUAGGGGAGCAAACGGG
This 253-nucleotide ribosomal RNA is filed under the name uncultured bacterium. RNAcentral's name for it is "partial 16S ribosomal RNA". It matches the Rfam family "Bacterial small subunit ribosomal RNA", at positions 524 to 776 of the family's 1533-position model. The record is from RNAcentral.